Molecule: non-coding RNA, 2479 nt
Organism: Theobroma cacao (cacao)
Lineage: Eukaryota; Viridiplantae; Streptophyta; Magnoliopsida; Malvales; Malvaceae
Source: RefSeq, a predicted model, not a curated record
CUUUCGGUAAAUAACCUUGAAGGUGAUAUUCCGAAAUUCCUUGGGAACAUGUGUACUGUUGAAACAUUAUCCCUUGCAGUCAACAACCUCAGUGGAUCAAUUAUUCCAGGGUAUUUUGGGUGCUUAGAAAAUUCAUUGCAGUUUUUGGACCUAUUUGCAAAUAACUUUCAUGGUCCAUUAGUGUUACCUCAUAUUGCAAGAUUUUCUUCCUUAAGAGAGCUUCAUCUCUCACAUAAUAAAUUAAAUGGCUUUCUGUCAGAGACCUUUAAUUUGAAACAACCUUCCAAGCUUACUGACUUGUAUUUGUCAAGAAACCAACUUAAAGGGACGUUACCUGAUUUCACAAUAUUUUCAUCUUUGAAAGCAUUACUUAUUAAUGAUAACCAAUUGAACGGAGCUGUCCCUGAAAGUUUGGGAUGCUUAUCUGAGCUUGAACAUUUGUAUUUUUCUCGAAAUUCUUUCGAAGGUGUGAUAUCUGAAACUCAUUUCAAAACUCUCUCCAAAUUAAGGUUUCUUGACUUGUCGUUUAACCAUUUGGUUGUGAAUUUUAGCUCUGGUUGGGUUCCUCCUUUUCAGUUACAUCAAAUUUAUCUAUCAUUUUGCAAAUUGGGGCCUCACUUCCCAAAAUGGCUUCAAACUCAAAAAGAAUUUCAAGAUCUUGAUAUCUCUGGUGCUGGAAUUUCGGAUUCUAUCCCUGAUUGGUUUUGGGACCUACCUCCAUACUUAUUAUCUUUGAAUCUCUCUCAUAAUCAAAUGACUGGCAUGGUACCAGACUUAUCAUCACUCAAGUUUAAGGAAUUUCCUGGAAUGGAUUUAAGUUUUAACAUGUUUGAGGGUCCGUUGCCAGUGCUUCCUUAUAACAUGACAUCAAUAAUUCUUGCGAAAAAUAGGUUUUCAGGAUCAGUUUCUUCAUUAUGUAAGAUUGCAGCUGGGACUUUGAGCAUGCUUGAUCUUUCUGAUAACCUAUUGUGUGGAGUGCUUCCUGAUUGCUUUUUUCACUGGCAAAACCUAAGUGUUUUGAAUUUAGCAAAUAACAACUUCUCAGGGGUUAUUCCGACAACUGUGGGAUCGCUGUUGUCAAUUGAAACAAUUAAUUUGCGCAAUAAUAGCUUCUCUGGAGACUUACCUUCUUCUUUGAAGAAUUGCAAUCUGUUGGAAUUUUUGGACUUAAGCGAGAAUAUGUUUUCUGGAAGUAUUCCGGCCUGGAUAGGAGAAAACUUGUUAUCUUUGAUUUUUUUGAGUCUACAAGCUAAUGAGUUUUAUGGGAGGAUACCUUCCAAUUUAUGCCAAUUGGCAAAGAUACGGAUUCUGGACCUCUCCCAAAACACUCUCGCUGGAUCAAUACCAUUGUGCCUUAAUAAUUUGACUGCCAUGGCUCAAAAAGGAGAUCCAGAUGAUGAUAUCAUUGAACAAGUAUAUGAUCAUUCAGGCCAAGGUAAUGGUUUUUUUGUAGGCUUUUAUACCGCGAAGGCAUGGGUUGGAUGGAAAGGAAGAAGGCACGAGUAUGAAAGAAGCCUUGGACUGUUAAGGAUCAUUGAUCUUGCAAGUAAUAAAUUAGAUGGAGAAAUUCCAGAUGAGAUAACAAGACUUUCUGAAUUGGUUGAAUUGAACUUAUCGGGGAACAAUUUGAUUGGGUUUAUUCCUGAAAACAUUGGUCAGUUGAAACAAUUAGAAUCACUUGAUUUGUCAAACAACCAAUUGUCAGGGCGAAUUCCUAACAGCAUGGCCGAUCUAAACUUUUUGAGUGACUUGAACCUGUCAUAUAAUAACUUAUCAGGAAAAAUUCCAACGAGUACUCAACUCCAAUCCCUUGACGCUUCAGCCUUUUCUGGUAAUCAAGCACUAUAUGGGCCUCCAAUUACACAACAGAGCCCCAAAAAUAAGACGGUUCAAGCUCAGCCACCAGAAGAAGAGAGAGAUGAAUUCAAUAGAUGGUUAUAUGCUGGAAUGGGAAUCGGAUUCUUCAUGGCAUUUUGGGGAGUUAUUGGCACUCUACUGUUAGAGCGUUCUUGGAGGCAUGCAUAUUUUCGACUCUUGGAUAGCUGGACUGACUCACUGUACGUGACAUUCAUGCUGUGGAGUGCAAGAUUGGAAAGGAAGUUCAAAAGUUAGAGACUACUAAGUUUCUACAAAAGAUGGUUUCAAUUUCGAACAUGUUCAGGCAAAAUUCUACUUCAUGAAUCUGUUGAAUAGGUUAACUAUCAUAGUUGUAGCAAUAUCAAAGUUGUGAACUGUGGAUUCAAAAAGAUAAAGAACGUGGCGCGCAGACAUAACUCCAGAUUGGGAUGAAACGCAUUGUCUGUUGAUGCAUAGUCUGCUUUUUCUUCUGUUUUGAGAAGGAUGAAAAAUAUAUGCUUUGAAAUUAUCUUCUUGUCUAUGUAUGCUUAUCUACUUGUUGAUGGACAAAUUCUGAAGAAAACUUUGUUCAAAGUUUUUAGUUUGUUUUAAGACAUUACAUGUUCUUCUCUUAUUACCUUUA